GACGAACGCUGGCGGCGCGCCUAACACAUGCAAGUCGAACGGAGCUUAGAGAGCUUGCUUUUUAAGCUUAGUGGCGAACGGGUGAGUAACGCGUGAGUAACCUGCCCUAGAGUGGGGGACAACAGUUGGAAACGACUGCUAAUACCGCAUAAGCCCACGGUACCGCAUGGUACUGAGGGAAAAGGAUUUAUUCGCUUUAGGAUGGACUCGCGUCCAAUUAGCUAGUUGGUGAGGUAACGGCCCACCAAGGCGACGAUUGGUAGCCGGACUGAGAGGUUGAACGGCCACAUUGGGACUGAGACACGGCCCAGACUCCUACGGGAGGCAGCAGUGGGGGAUAUUGCACAAUGGGGGAAACCCUGAUGCAGCGACGCCGCGUGGAGGAAGAAGGUUUUCGGAUUGUAAACUCCUGUCGUUAGGGACGAUAAUGACGGUACCU
This 439-nucleotide ribosomal RNA is filed under the name uncultured bacterium. RNAcentral describes it as "bacterial SSU rRNA". It matches the Rfam family "Bacterial small subunit ribosomal RNA", at positions 28 to 480 of the family's 1533-position model. The record is from RNAcentral.